CUUUUCAUCCAACUCUUGAAGGUCACAGAAGUGGGAGGUUUUCAAUUAUGAGCAGGCCAAGUGCAAGGUUGGGGCCACCAGGAAAUGACAAGUGGUAGGCCCAGUCUUUCCAGGCUGGGGCACAUCCCCGCUGCUGUGAUGAAUGAGCUCAGCCUCCUUUGGUCAGAACCAACCUGUCAGUCCUUGAUAAAGAACUCACCAAACAUUGUGCUAAUAUGAACAAGGAUAAACGGGAUAGGGUUUCAGCUCCAUUUGCAACACACUGCCUGGGAGUAAUCUGAACAGGCAAGGUGAGGAGACAGGCCCGGAAGGACAGCAGUGCCCUGCAUGCUCUUCCUGCUGUCUCCAGGGAUUUUCCAGCUUAUCCACUUCAUUUCCUGAAAGUAAUCAGCCCUGAAUAUCUCGGCAACAAGGCACUCCUUGGGGAAGUAAUGACUGGGAGGCAGUCUGGUGAAUCAACUCUUCUCAAGCCCAGAGCAGACAUCAGGGGGCCACACGGAUGGACCUUGAAAGCCAUUUGGAGAGGUUGGGUGUGUGUUACUUAGGAUCAGCAUGCUUGCUUAAGGGAGAAGCCCUGGCAGAGGGAGAUGCUUCUUUUGGGCCUCCCGGCAUUAAAAAGGGGAUUCUUCUUGAUGCAGUCUACCUAUGUGGCCUGGUAAAUGAAGGCAGGGCAAAGCCAACUUCCUGAGAAGACCCAAAGUAAGAUGGAUGCCCAUGACUGUGCCUUGAUCUCAUGUCAUUCCCUCUUAUGCAAGAGGGAAGUGCUGUCCAGAUGCCUUCAGACACCACGCAACACCCUACCUUCUCCCCUUCUGCGGUUGAAAUGUUGCGAACUCCUACUGUCAUUCAGCAUUCCCCCCUGGAGCCAGAGUGGUCCAGUUCAAACCUAAGCUCCAUUUCUGACUCCCCAGCCGAACUCCAAGCCUUUAGAAGGAACUGACUACAUUCCGUUCUUCUUUGAAUCCCCUGUAGUGAGCACAGUGCCUGGCACAGAGGGGAUCCUCAAUAAACACCUAGUGACUGAGUAACUAGGAAGCUAAGA
Molecule: long non-coding RNA, 1042 nt
Organism: Canis lupus familiaris (dog)
Lineage: Eukaryota; Metazoa; Chordata; Mammalia; Carnivora; Canidae
Exons: 2
Source: RefSeq, a predicted model, not a curated record